This 386-nucleotide ribosomal RNA is filed under the name uncultured bacterium. Its description in RNAcentral is "bacterial SSU rRNA". It matches the Rfam family "Bacterial small subunit ribosomal RNA", at positions 427 to 793 of the family's 1533-position model. The record is from RNAcentral.
AAAGCACUUUCAGUAGGGAGGAAGGUAGUGUAGUUAACACCUGCACUAUUUGACGUUACCUACACGAAGAAGCACCGGCUAACUCCGUGCCAGCAGCCGCGGUAAUACGGAGGGUGCGAGCGUUAAUCGGAAUUACUGGGCGUAAAGACGCAUGCAGGCGGCCCUGUUAAGUCAGAUGUGAAAGACCCGGGGCGUUAAACCUCGGAAAUUGCAUUUGUAAACUAGGCAGGCUAGAGUCUUGUAGAGGGGGGUAGGAAUUUCAGGUGUAGCGGUGAAAUGCGUAGAGAUCUGAAGGAAUACCAGUGGCGAAGGCGGCCCCCCUCGGACAAAGACUGACGCUCAGAUGCGAAAGCGUGGGGAGCAAACAGGAUUAGAUACCCUGGUAG